CCCUCCUGUAGGUUUUAACUCCAACCCUGUUCCUGGAGAACUACCCUCCUGUAGGUUUUAACUCCAACCCUGUUCCUGGAGAGAUACCCUCCUGUAGGUUUAUACUCCAACCCUGUUCCUGGAGAGCUACCCUCCUGUAGGUUUUAACUCCAACCCUGUUCCUGGAGAGCUACCCUCCUGUAGGUUUUAACUCCAACCCUGUUCCUGGAGAGAUAUCCUCCUGUAGGUUUUAACUCCAACCCUGUUCCUGGAGAGAUACCCUCCUGUAGGUUUUAACUCCAACCCUGUUCCUGGAGAGAUGCCCUCCUGUAGGUUUUAACUCCAACCCUGUUCCUGGAGAGCUACCCUCCUGUAGGUUUUAACUCCAACCCUGUUCCUGGAGAGAUACCCUCCUGUAGGUUUUAACUCCAACCCUGUUCCUGGAGAGAUACCCUCCUGUAGGUUU
This 445-nucleotide long non-coding RNA is filed under the name Salmo salar (Atlantic salmon). Its description in RNAcentral is "lncRNA (ENSSSAG00000104131.1)". The record is from RNAcentral. Lineage: Eukaryota; Metazoa; Chordata; Actinopteri; Salmoniformes; Salmonidae.